GAUGAACGCUGGCGGCGUGCCUAAUACAUGCAAGUAGAACGCUGAAGGAGGAGCUUGCUCUUCUGGAUGAGUUGCGAACGGGUGAGUAACGCGUAGGUAACCUGCCUGGUAGCGGGGGAUAACUAUUGGAAACGAUAGCUAAUACCGCAUGACAACAGUUAUUGCAUGAUAACUGUUUAAAAGGGGCAACUGCUCCACUACCAGAUGGACCUGCGUUGUAUUAGCUAGUUGGUGAGGUAACGGCUCACCAAGGCGACGAUACAUAGCCGACCUGAGAGGGUGAUCGGCCACACUGGGACUGAGACACGGCCCAGACUCCUACGGGAGGCAGCAGUAGGGAAUCUUCGGCAAUAGACGGAAGUCUGACCGAGCAACGCCGCGUGAGUGAAGAAGGUUUUCGGAUCGUAAAGAUCUGUUGUAAGAGAAGAACGAGUGUGAGAGUGGAAAGUUCACACUGUGACGGUAUCUUACCAGAAAGGGACGGCUAACUACGUG
This 495-nucleotide ribosomal RNA is filed under the name uncultured bacterium. Its description in RNAcentral is "partial 16S ribosomal RNA". It matches the Rfam family "Bacterial small subunit ribosomal RNA", at positions 28 to 507 of the family's 1533-position model. The record is from RNAcentral.